UUUUUUUUUUUUUUAAAGAUUUAUUUACUUACUUACUUACUUAUUUGAGAGAACAAGAAAGAGAGAGAGAGAAUCUUAAGCAAACUGCUCUGAGCAUGGAGCCCGACUCGGGGCUCAGUUUCACGACCCUGAGAUGACUUGAGCCAAAAACCAAAAGUCAGACGUUUAACCGACUGUGCCACUCAGGCACCCCUGAAUCCUUAAAUCCUUUAAAUAUAUUUAUAUGUUUAUAUAUUUAUAUUUAAAUAUAAAUAUCACACAGAAUUAGAUCUAUAGUUCUUGAAUUAUAAUAAACUUUUAUGGAUGUGAAUAUUAUCCAACUCAUGUUUCAAUAUACUUCCUACACUGGCUCCCUGAAAUAAUGUAAAACAUUCUUUGUUAGUAAAAACAUGCUUUUAAGAAGACAGUGAAAGUGAUAGACUUGGGGGAAACCAUCAAUAUUUAGGUAAUAGAAAAUGUAAAACCAAAUAGCUUGGGGCCAAUUCAGUUCUACUAUGUAAAAUCAUGCUGAUUGGAGCAAAUCAAUGCUUUGAAGACUUAGUCUAAUAUACUAUAGCUCUAAUAAAGUUAGGUAAAUUGUGAAUUCUGUGUAUGGUGUAUAGAGGACACGUGACUCAUUCCAAAACAGUGAUUUUAAUGCUUCACGUCUCAACUGAAGAGCAUUGUCGUAUGGAAGCAGUUUCAGGUGGUGAUCAAGUCAGAACCUUAUCUGGAUUCUCACCAGUCAUGUGACCUUGACUAAAUCAAUCACAAUCAUUUUUCAUCUAUAUCCUACCUCUUUAUAUUAUCAUGAGGAUUAAGUGAGAUGUAUUAUAAAGCCAUCACACAAUCCUUGGCUCACAGUAGGUACUCCAUAAAUCUUGGCCAUUUUGAUUAAUAUUAUUAUUAUAUUUUUAUUAUUGCAUAUUAUAUGCAAAUAAAAUUGUGAUUUCUGAAUCCUCCAAAUCCCAAUUUGAUGGUGGAGGAAGAAGUUCCACAUGAGGACCAAGAGACAGAUGACUUUAAAAGCUGUUUUUCCUGAUAAUGACUAUACUUUAAAACACAAUUCCCAGUGUAAAACAGGAGGCAAGCUUUUGAUUUUUUCAAAAUCUCUGCCUUCCUACACCAGGGAUGUGUGGAUUUUACAUGAUUGCAAAUUCUACCCGAUAGUCUACUAUAUUUUUUAAAUCACUUAUUUAUGCAAACAUUCAGUACAUUUUUAGAACUUAAAAUAUAUCAUCUGACAUUUUUUUUAAACUUAAGGUUUUUAAAAAAUAAAUGAGACAGUUUCUGGGCUUAAGACAGUUUCUAAUGCCUUAUUUUGUUGAUUCAGUCGUACAAAACCAUUACAGUAAAUCUCUUGGGAAAAAAUAUGUUGUUGCUCUAAUACAAGGUUUGCAAUCUGUAGCUUGGUUCGAAUCCAGCCACUGCCAGUUUGUGUAUGUCCUGCAAGCUAAGAACAUUUUUCACAUUUUUAAAUGGUUGAAAAAAAUCUAUAGAAUAGUAUUUCAUGACAAAUAUAUAAAAUUCAAAUGUCAGUGUCCAUAAGUAAAAUUUUAUUGGAACAGAUUGUUUGAGUAUUAUCUAUGGCUGCUUUCACACUACAAUAGCAGAGUUGAGUAGUUACCGCAGAAUCCGUGGAUAGUCCACAAAGCCUAAAAAAGGGCCAGAGAGCAAUUCUCAUUAGCAAGCCCUGCUACCAAAAAAAAAAAAAAAAAAAA
Molecule: long non-coding RNA, 1700 nt
Filed under: Canis lupus familiaris (dog)
Lineage: Eukaryota; Metazoa; Chordata; Mammalia; Carnivora; Canidae
Description: lncRNA (ENSCAFG00000057194.1)
Source: RNAcentral